AUUAUAAAGACAAAGAAUGGAAUAUCGUAAAUAUAAUAUGCAUAACAUUAACAUUUAUAGUAUAUUUUAUACCAAAGCCGUUUUUUCGAAGGGUCAUGGAAACGACAUAUAUGACAUUUUAUAUGUAUUAUCUAUAUCGUACUUAUUACAAAGACGAUUUAAUACUAGAAAAUUGAGUAUUCAUGAUUUUCAACAAUGUAUAAACUUGGAAACGAAAAGUUUAUUUGAUCUAGUUCAAAAGGGAAUAAUUAUAAAUAUUAUACCAUUAAUUUUUUCAUAUAUAUUCAGCUUUAUUCUGGAUAUUUUUUUAACAGUAUCUAAUAGCAUUAGUUUUAAUAUUAUUUUAAACAUAAUAACGCAUCCAUUUAAUGUUAUAUUGAGUUUACCAAAAAUAUAUAAUCUAUCAAACAUUUAUGUCCUAGAGAAUUGCUCAUAUGCUUUGUCUAUAUUUUCAUCAAUAUGGAUAACAGCAAUAUUAGAAUACCACUUUCUCAUUUUUAAUUUCUUAUUCAAUAAAUAUGAUUGUAAGAUCCUUACGGCAUUAAAUACAUUUCCUAUGCAUAAUCAAUGUUCUUAUAAUGAUGAAUUCUUUUUUUGCUAUUUGUAUAUACAAUUAUUUAAGAGAUAUAAGUUAUAGAAUUAAUGGAAUAAAUAUUGAAAUAACAAAUAUGGAUAACAAAACAAAAAUAAAACUUUUAUUACUGAAGAAACUAAUAUUAAUCAACGCGAGUUUAAAAUAUAAAGAUGAAAUGACUAUAUUAAAUCAUAUUUCUAAUCCAAUUAAUACAAUCUUAUUUGAAGAUAAUAAAAUAUGGAAUACUUAUAUUGAUUCUUGUAUAUUAUGUAUCGAUGAUUUAAUUACCCAUUUAAAAAGGUAUAUAAAUAUUUUAAGUAAUGGUCAAGCAAUUUAUUCAAUUGAAGAAAAACUAGAACUAAAAAGUGUAUUAGAAAAACAUAAAAUAAAUAAAUUAAAAGAUAUUAUCGUUUUAACUUGUAUAUAUUUAAAAGGAAUUACAUUAUGGUCCAUUGCAAUUAGCAUUAUUUGUAAAAAUAUUAUUGUAUCUGUUAUUAGAAAAUUGUCAUCAGUUCUAGUUACUUUAUCAUAUGUCCUAUUUGAUUUUUUAAAUUUUAUUAAAAUAAAUGAAUUAUAUGAUCCAUUACAUCACUUACUUUACGAAAUGAACUCCCUUAUAGAUAUUUUUAAAUUUUAUAAAGAAGACAUUUUAGACAACAAAUAUCAAUACUCUUAUAAUUUAUAUAAAGGACUUUCUUAUCUAUUUAAAAAUAAAUCAUUAAACUACUAAAUAUUACUUUGAAAUAAAAGUAUGUAUGUAUAUAUAUAUAUAUAUAUA
Molecule: long non-coding RNA, 1352 nt
Filed under: Piliocolobus tephrosceles (Ugandan red Colobus)
Lineage: Eukaryota; Metazoa; Chordata; Mammalia; Primates; Cercopithecidae
Description: lncRNA (ENSPTEG00000026743.1)
Source: RNAcentral